Long non-coding RNA from Galeopterus variegatus (Sunda flying lemur), 603 nucleotides. RefSeq lists it as uncharacterized. The transcript is spliced from 3 exons. The record is from RefSeq and is a predicted model, not a curated record. NCBI's taxonomy places the organism in Eukaryota, Metazoa, Chordata, Mammalia, Dermoptera, Cynocephalidae.
CAGGCCGAGAGGUCCCAUCACUGGAGCGUCUGCUGAGCAGAGUCUUAAAACAGUAAAGCAGGAGUUUUGUGCAGUGUUCUUUGUUCUUAAUAUUUGGAUAAGACUGUUUUAAAUAUAUUGAAUCAAUAGUUACUUGAGAGUUACUCAAAAUUUUCAGAAGAACAAAACGUGUUUUCUAAAAAUUUGUUGUACCUUGGGGUGAGCAUGGCAUCUGCAGCUCUGGAAAUCGUGUGCUGUUGACGACACAGCGUUAACAGGGUGUGGUUAUUCUUUAAAAGGGGCGGGCUUGUGUAAUGUUCUGUCCUGUUCUGUACGGGGACGUCUGCAGUGAAAAGGUGUGAGGAGUGACCUUUGCCCCACAGCUCUCCUCUGUGCCUGUAGCUCAUGUGUGUGCCCCUCUCCUCUUUGUCACUGCUUCCCUUGCCCUGGAUGUGGUUGGUGCACGGGGGUCACCUUAGACCACAGGGACUGUCUGGUUAACUCACGAAGAAAUGGAAACGCUCGCAGCCACGCCGCAAACGGAAGAUGAGGAGGGAAGCUGGGCUCAGACACUCGCAUAUGGGGACAUGAACCACGAGUGGAUUGGGAACGAGUGGCUGCCCA